This 467-nucleotide ribosomal RNA is filed under the name uncultured bacterium. RNAcentral describes it as "partial 16S ribosomal RNA". It matches the Rfam family "Bacterial small subunit ribosomal RNA", at positions 28 to 507 of the family's 1533-position model. The record is from RNAcentral.
GACGAACGCUGGCGGCGUGCUUAACACAUGCAAGUCGAACGGAAAGGCCCUGAUUUGUGGGGUGCUCGAGUGGCGAACGGGUGAGUAACACGUGAGUAACCUGCCCUUGACUUUGGGAUAACUUCAGGAAACUGGGGCUAAUACCGGAUAGGAGCUCCUGCUGCAUGGUGGGGGUUGGAAAGUUUCGGCGGUUGGGGAUGGACUCGCGGCUUAUCAGCUUGUUGGUGGGGUAGUGGCUUACCAAGGCUUUGACGGGUAGCCGGCCUGAGAGGGUGACCGGCCACAUUGGGACUGAGAUACGGCCCAGACUCCUACGGGAGGCAGCAGUGGGGAAUAUUGCACAAUGGGCGGAAGCCUGAUGCAGCAACGCCGCGUGCGGGAUGACGGCCUUCGGGUUGUAAACCGCUUUCGCCUGUGACGAAGCGUGAGUGACGGUAAUGGGUAAAGAAGCACCGGCUAACUACGUG